Non-coding RNA from Pogona vitticeps (central bearded dragon), 384 nucleotides. The record is from the annotation of a RefSeq genome assembly. NCBI's taxonomy places the organism in Eukaryota, Metazoa, Chordata, Lepidosauria, Squamata, Agamidae.
CUGGAAAUCACCAUGGACUCUAUAGCUGUGUUUCUCUUUCUACUGUCAGUCCUCAAGCCAGGCUUUUCUGAAAUCCGCUUGACCCAGUCCGGUGGGGAGACAUGGAAGCCUGGAGCAACUCUCCGGCUGACCUGCGCGGUCUCUGGAUACAGCAUGACUUCUGGGUAUAACUGGAAUUGGAUCCGCCAGCCACCCCAGAAAGGACUGGAAUGGAUAGGGAGGGGAUACUACAGCAGUUCCAACUGGAAGACAAAUUAUGGCUCAGCUUUCCAGAGCAGGAUCUCCAUCACGGCUGAUGCCUCCAAGAACGAAUAUUAUCUUGAGCUGAGGUCCCUGACAGCUGCCGACACAGCCGUGUAUUACUGUGCCCGAGGAUCACAGUGA